This 103-nucleotide microRNA precursor is filed under the name Marmota monax (woodchuck). Lineage: Eukaryota; Metazoa; Chordata; Mammalia; Rodentia; Sciuridae. The record is from RNAcentral.
AGAGGAAUAGCUGGGUCAAAUGUUGGUUCCAUUCCCAGAUUUCCAAGAAAUCUCCAUACUGUUUUCCAUAUUGGCUGCACCAAUUUGCAAUCCCACCAGCAGU